CGUAGGGUGCAAGCGUUAAUCGGAAUACUGGGCGUAAAGCGUGCGCAGGCGGUGAUGUAAGACAGUUGUGAAAUCCCCGGGCUCAACCUGGGAACUGCAUCUGUGACUGCAUCGCUGGAGUGCGGCAGAGGGGGAUGGAAUUCCGCGUGUAGCAGUGAAAUGCGUAGAUAUGCGGAGGAACACCGAUGGCGAAGGCAAUCCCCUGGGCCUGCACUGACGCUCAUGCACGAAAGCGUGGGGGGCAAACAGGAUUAGAUACCCUGGUAGUCCACGCCCUAAACGAUGUCAACUGGUUGUUGGGUCUUUACUGACUCAGUAACGAAGCUAACGCGUGAAGUUGACCGCCUGGGGAGUACGGCCGCAAGGUUG
Molecule: ribosomal RNA, 369 nt
Filed under: uncultured organism
Description: bacterial SSU rRNA
Rfam family: Bacterial small subunit ribosomal RNA
Source: RNAcentral